UACGUAGGUCCCGAGCGUUGUCCGGAUUUACUGGGUGUAAAGGGUGCGUAGGCGGCUAUGCAAGUCAGUAGUGAAAUCCAUGGGCUUAACCCAUGAACUGCUAUUGAAACUGCACAGCUUGAGUGAAGUAGAGGUAGGCGGAAUUCCCGGUGUAGCGGUGAAAUGCGCAGAGAUCGGGAGGAACACCAGUGGCGAAGGCGGCCUACUGGGCUUUAACUGACGCUGAGGCACGAAAGCGUGGGUAGCAAACAGG
This 253-nucleotide ribosomal RNA is filed under the name uncultured bacterium. Its description in RNAcentral is "partial 16S ribosomal RNA". It matches the Rfam family "Bacterial small subunit ribosomal RNA", at positions 524 to 776 of the family's 1533-position model. The record is from RNAcentral.